This 253-nucleotide ribosomal RNA is filed under the name uncultured bacterium. Its description in RNAcentral is "partial 16S ribosomal RNA". It matches the Rfam family "Bacterial small subunit ribosomal RNA", at positions 524 to 776 of the family's 1533-position model. The record is from RNAcentral.
UACGGAGGGAGCUAGCGUUGUUCGGAAUUACUGGGCGUAAAGCGCACGUAGGCGGCUUUGUAAGUUAGAGGUGAAAGCCCGGAGCUCAACUUCGGAAUUGCCUUUAAGACUGCAUCGCUCGAAUCCAGGAGAGGUGAGUGGAAUUCCGAGUGUAGAGGUGAAAUUCGUAGAUAUUCGGAAGAACACCAGUGGCGAAGGCGGCUCACUGGACUGGUAUUGACGCUGAGGUGCGAAAGCGUGGGGAGCAAACAGG